This 460-nucleotide ribosomal RNA is filed under the name uncultured bacterium. RNAcentral describes it as "partial 16S ribosomal RNA". It matches the Rfam family "Bacterial small subunit ribosomal RNA", at positions 338 to 795 of the family's 1533-position model. The record is from RNAcentral.
CCUACGGGUGGCAGCAGUGAGGAAUAUUGGUCAAUGGCCGGAAGGCUGAACCAGCCAAGCCGCGUGAAGGACGAAGGUGCCAAGCAUUGUAAACUUCUUUUGUCAAGGGACAAAGUGAGGCUCGAGAGCCUGACCGAGGGUACUUGAAGAAAAAGCAUCGGCUAACUCCGUGCCAGCAGCCGCGGUAAUACGGAGGAUGCGAGCGUUAUCCGGAUUUAUUGGGUUUAAAGGGUGCGUAGGCGGGCCUUUAAGUUAGCGGUAAAAGGCCGGGGCUCAACCCUGGACAUGCCGUUGAAACUGGCUGUCUUGAGAUGUCUAGAGGCAUGCGGAAUGCGUAGUGUAGCGGUGAAAUGCUUAGAUAUUGCGCAGAACUCCGAGUGCGAAGGCAGCAUACCGGCGGCUAUCUGACGCUGAGGCACGAAAGCGUGGGUAUCGAACAGGAUUAGAUACCCCUGUAGUC